UAAGACGAACCGUGCGAACGUUGUUCGGAUUCACUGGGCUUAAAGGGCGCGUAGGCGGGCAAGCAAGUCCGGGGUGAAAUCUUUCGGCUUAACCGGAAAAGUGCCUUGGAUACUGCUUGUCUCGAGGGAGGUAGGGGUCUGCGGAACUUCCGGUGGAGCGGUGAAAUGCGUUGAUAUCGGAAGGAACGCCGGUGGCGAAAGCGGCGGACUGGACCUCUUCUGACGCUGAGGCGCGAAAGCCAGGGGAGCAAACGGGAUUAGAUACCCCGGUAGUCCUGGCCCUAAACGAUGGGUACUAGGUUGUGGACUUUCAUGGGUUCACAGCCGAAGCAAAAGUGAUAAGUACCCCGCCUGGGGAGUAUGGUCGCAAGGCUG
This 375-nucleotide ribosomal RNA is filed under the name uncultured bacterium. RNAcentral describes it as "bacterial SSU rRNA". It matches the Rfam family "Bacterial small subunit ribosomal RNA", at positions 521 to 896 of the family's 1533-position model. The record is from RNAcentral.